UCCGGCUUAUCACCGGCAGUUUCUUUAGAGUGCCCAACUAAAUGAUGGCAACUAAAGACGAGGGUUGCGCUCGUUGCGGGACUUAACCCAACAUCUCACGACACGAGCUGACGACAGCCAUGCAGCACCUGUGUGCAGGUCCCCGAAGGGAAGAUACCCAUCUCUGGGCACCGUCCUGCCAUGUCAAGGGCUGGUAAGGUUCUUCGCGUUGCUUCGAAUUAAACAACAUGCUCCGCCGCUUGUGCGGGCCCCCGUCAAUUCCUUUGAGUUUCAAUCUUGCGAUCGUACUUCCCAGGUGGGAUACUUAAUGCUUUCGCUCAGACACACACUGUGUAUCGCGUAUGUCGAGUAUCCAUAGUUUAGGGCGUGGACUAC
RNAcentral lists this unclassified non-coding RNA (375 nucleotides) under uncultured bacterium. Its description in RNAcentral is "contains 16S-23S intergenic spacer region". The record is from RNAcentral.